GCCACAUGAUGAUCCUUUAGAAUACAAUAGCACUCUGUGCAAAGAUGACCAACUAUCUAUCACCCUUGACUGAUGGCA
This is a small nucleolar RNA of 78 nucleotides. Its record names the gene SNORD83. It matches the Rfam family "Small nucleolar RNA SNORD83". From Rfam's summary of the family: U83 (SNORD83) and U84 (SNORD84) are members of the C/D class of snoRNA which contain the C (UGAUGA) and D (CUGA) box motifs. The record is from Ensembl.